Molecule: long non-coding RNA, 2698 nt
Organism: Pogona vitticeps (central bearded dragon)
Lineage: Eukaryota; Metazoa; Chordata; Lepidosauria; Squamata; Agamidae
Source: Ensembl
UCUCCACUUCCAGUUUAGAAAAAUGAGUUUUUGAGGCAUUAAACGGUAUGCAGGUGGUGACAGGCUUCCAAUGGCUCAAAGUCACAGGCAAAGAAAAGUGUGGCUUUAACCUGCUCUCUGAUGCUUUUGCUGGAAAUAUUUAUGUUUCAGGCGAGCCCUAUCUUUGUUAAGGGCUCCUUAACCAAGAUCUGGUUGGUGGCCAGCCCAGUGUGGCUUUAACCUGCUCUCUGAUGCUUUUGCUAGAAAUGUUUAUGUGUCAGGCGAGCCCUGUCUAUGGUAAGGGCUCCUUCACCAAGAUCUGGUUGGUGGCCAGCCCAUCCAAUUUUAGCCAUAAACUCCUGGGGGGGGGGGGGGGUCAGAGGCUUGCUCUAUUAUCCUUGAUCACACAUAUAGGUGGAAAGCAGCUAUAAAUUAGCAGCACCAGCAAUUCUGCUGAAAGAGAUCCGCCACAUAUAAGAGUACUGGGUUAUUGUGGUCUGAGAAGCUGGAAAGGACCAAACUCUCUCUGGAGGCAAAAAUUGUUCAAUUCGAGUUUGUCCUCCUUUUGGGCACAUCCUGAGAAGAUAAAGAGUUAUCUGGAAAAAAAUCAUCCUGGGGAAAGGUGGAAGGCAGCAGCAGGAAAAGAGGAAGACGGAGUAUGAGAUGAACCGACUCUCUAAAGGAAACCACGGGAUUGAGUUUGCAAGAGCUGAACAGGGCCGUUGAGGACAGGACAGUCGCUCAUUCACAGGGUCGCCACAAGAUGAGGGCGACUUGACAACAGGUGACAACAACCCCUUUCACUCAGUGGCCAUAAACACCCGAUGCAGCCAUUCACUUCACUUUGGGCUCAGGAAGCAGAUGAGAUGUGUUUUCCAGGAGCCUGGCAUGGCUUCAGGCACAUGGUGAGGAAACAGGCCGGCCAGCCAAUAGGAGAGCCCAUAGAAAGAGAAGCGGCGUGUGACGUCGGAAGGGACGCUCCCCAGGCUUGUUUCUCCCGCAGGCUUCCUGCAAAUCGUGAAGGCGACCCGUGGGGAGAAGGAGGGGAUAGAACCCGUUGCCCACGUCCAGUCGUCCGUCUGCCAGCCCUGAGACCAGAAACUGCACUGGAAUGGAAGUGGUAAAACGGAAGAUGUGGGGAGAUGGUUUGGCUUUUUCCUGUGCAUCACCACCUCCCCAGAUGUGUCUUUUGCGUAAGAAAAGAAAUGUCAUCAUUUGACCCACGGUUCUCCGUUUCACAAAGGUCUCUCUCUCUGUUUCUCUGCCUCUAACGGGACAGUACUGCAUGACAUCCACACCUGGCACGCUUUGAAGUCUUGGAAGCUGCAGUGUAGCAAUCAAGCAUCCUCACCAGAUGGCCGGUUCCGUAGAAAAUGGGCAUGUCUGCAACCGGAGUGUGUCAGGUAUGGUGAGGAAGGCAGGACCGGUUCAAAGAUAGGUGUGGCAUGCUGCGGUUUUUAAUCUGUAAACUGCACAGAGUAGUGUGUCCACUAGGAAGUGGUAUAUAACUCAAAUAUCUGAGGGGUUUAGCUCUCUGGAUGCAGAGCCAGAGGUUGGGAAUUCAGAUCUCCACUGUGCCUCCAUGACAGGGCUGAACUUAAAUCGAUCGAUCAAUCAAUAGAUCGCUAGAUAAACUAUUACCUACCGGAGAUGGAAAAGGGAAUAGAACAAGGGUAGCCACAGUGUAGCCAUUGUGUAUGUCUCGAGUACUCCUGUUACAGCAUCAUUUUGCUCAGGCAAUUUUUUCUGCAGCCUGUACUUGAUUAUGAACAAUGCCACCCAUGCCUUACCCGUGCCAGGACAAUGAACAUCACUUUGUGACGUGGCACUGGCAUUGCUUUGCAUAUGUAUUAGCGGUAACCUGAUGAGCAUGGGAUGGGUGUUUUUGCACACCCCUCCAACCCCUCUCCUGGUUGCUUUUUUCUCUUUACAUGUGUGUGUGGCUAAGUAUCUGGAGGGGCCUUAUAUUUCUCUCUAAAACGUUACAAGGGAAUAUUUGUGAGAAGUUCAGACUUUUUUUCCUUUCUUCCCCGCCCCCCUUCCUGGUAAGCCUUCUGUUGCAGACAAGAGGGCUUCUCUAGUACACUGGUUCUUAACCUUGGGUUACUCAGGAGUUUUGGACUGCAACUCCCAGAAGCCUUCACCACCAACUGUGCUGGCUGGGGUUUCUGGGAGUUGCAGUUCAAAAACAUCCGAGUAACAAAGGUUAAGAACCACUGCUCUAGUAGACAAGUGGUGCAGUUCUGAAAGGUCUGCUCUCUGACUUGCUCUUCUUCCCUUUGCAGAGUGUGCAGCGGGAUGUCAAUCUUUCUCCAGAAGGAAGGAAGAGAAAAGGGUGAUGGUGGAAGAAACUCAGGUAGGAGGUUCUCAGGAGGGGCCACUGAGAGCGUGGUGAGGAAUGUGAAACACCAUAUCUACCAUAAUCACUCAUCUCCUGAAAAGGACAAAAGCUGAUCUCACAGCCAUAAAUACUCAACUCCCAAACAAACUGCACCAGAGCACAGAGUCCUGCCCUCUGAAGAUGCCGGCCACAGAGACUGGAGAAACGUUAGGAAGAACAACCUUCAGAACAUAGCCAAAGAGCCCGAAAAACCCACAACAACCAAUGUGAAACACCUUCAUGCAUAUCAUCUGCAGCUGUUGUGAGAUCUGAGAGAGGGAUGUCUUGGCUCCAGACUCAGAGAAUAAAAUGUCCCUCAAAUGCCUCCUUCCCGAGAUA